CCCAUAUGGUCGACCUGCAGGCGGCCGCGAAUUCACUAGUGAUUCGUAUUACCGCGGCUGCUGGCACGGAGUUAGCCGGAGCUUAUUCUCCCGGUACUGUCAUUAUCAUCCCGGGUAAAAGAGCUUUACGACCCUAAGGCCUUCAUCACUCACGCGACAUUGCUGGAUCAGGCUUGCGCCCAUUGUCCAAUAUUCCCCACUGCUGCCUCCCGUAGGAGUCUGGACCGUGUCUCAGUUCCAGUGUGACUGAUCAUCCUCUCAGACCAGUUACGGAUCGUCGCCUUGGUGAGCCAUUACCCCACCAACUAGCUAAUCCGACCUAGGCUCAUCUGAUAGCGCAAGGCCCGAAGGUCCCCUGCUUUCUCCCGUAGGACGUAUGCGGUAUUAGCGUCCGUUUCCGAGCUUUAUCCCCCACUACCAGGCAGAUUCCUAGGCAUUACUCACCCGUCCGCCGCUCUCAAGAGGUGCAAGCACCUCUCUACCGCUCGACUUGCAUGUGUUAGGCCUGCCGCCAGCGUUCGUUCUGAGCCAUGAUCAAACUCUAAUCGAAUUCCCGCGGCCGCC
This 564-nucleotide ribosomal RNA is filed under the name uncultured Gammaproteobacteria bacterium. RNAcentral's name for it is "partial 16S ribosomal RNA". The record is from RNAcentral. Lineage: Bacteria; Pseudomonadati; Pseudomonadota; Gammaproteobacteria.